UACGGAAGGCAGCAGUGGGGAAUAUUGCACAACGGGCGAAAGCCUGAUGCAGCUAUGCCGCGUGUAUGAAGAAGGCCUUAGGGUUGUAAAGUACUUUCAUCGGGGAGGAAAAAACAAAACUAAUAAUUUUAUUUCUUGACGUUACCCGAAAAAGAAGCACCGGCUAACUCCGUGCCAGCAGCCGCGGUAAUACGGAGGGUGCUAGCGUUAAUCAGAAUUACUGGGCGUAAAGAGCACGUAGGUGGUUUUUUUAAAGUCAGAUGUGAAAUCCCUGGGCUUAACCUAGGAACUGCAUUUUGAAACUGAAAUACUAGAGUAUCGUAGAGGGAGGUAGAAUUCUAGGUGUAGCGGUGAAAUGCGUAGAUAUCUGGAGGAAUACCUGUGGCGAAAGCGGCCUCCUAAACGAAUACUGACACUGAGGGUGCGAAAGCGUGGGGAGCAAACAGGGAUUAGAUACC
Molecule: ribosomal RNA, 458 nt
Filed under: uncultured bacterium
Lineage: Bacteria
Description: bacterial SSU rRNA
Rfam family: Bacterial small subunit ribosomal RNA
Source: RNAcentral